This 253-nucleotide ribosomal RNA is filed under the name uncultured bacterium. RNAcentral's name for it is "partial 16S ribosomal RNA". It matches the Rfam family "Bacterial small subunit ribosomal RNA", at positions 524 to 776 of the family's 1533-position model. The record is from RNAcentral.
UACGAAGGGGGCUAGCGUUGUUCGGAAUGACUGGGCGUAAAGGGCGCGUAGGCGGAUGGCACAGUCAGAUGUGAAAUUCCCGGGCUUAACCUGGGGGCUGCAUUUGAUACGUGUUGUCUUGAGUUCGGAAGAGGGUCGUGGAAUUCCCAGUGUAGAGGUGAAAUUCGUAGAUAUUGGGAAGAACACCGGUGGCGAAGGCGGCGACCUGGUCCGACACUGACGCUGAGGCGCGAAAGCGUGGGGAGCAAACAGG